RNAcentral lists this transfer RNA (33 nucleotides) under Oligosoma inconspicuum. RNAcentral's name for it is "tRNA-Ser". The record is from RNAcentral. Lineage: Eukaryota; Metazoa; Chordata; Lepidosauria; Squamata; Scincidae.
GAAGGGGGUGAGAACACAAAGAAUUGCUAAUUC